Long non-coding RNA from Pomacea canaliculata, 1447 nucleotides. RefSeq lists it as uncharacterized. The record is from RefSeq and is a predicted model, not a curated record. The transcript has 5 exons. NCBI's taxonomy places the organism in Eukaryota, Metazoa, Mollusca, Gastropoda, Architaenioglossa, Ampullariidae.
AUCGCCUGGAUCGUAUGGACCCGCGCCUUAACUGGCAUCGCUGGAUCAGUAUGGAACCUGCGCCUUAACUGGCAUUGCCUCGAUCAGUAUGGAACCUGCGCCUUAACUGGCAUCGCCUAAGUCAUUGUGGACCCCGCGCCUUAACUGGCAUCGCCUGGAUCAGUGUGGAACCUGCGCCUCAACUGGCAUCGCCUGGAUCAAUGGGGAUCAAGCGCCCUAAUAACCAGCACCGCCUUGUACUAUGAUGAACCUGCGCCUUAACCGUCAUCACCUUGAGAAAUAGGGAGAUUGAGAUUGAGCGCUGGCAUGUAGCAACAUGGCAACUUUGCCUUUCGUCAUCUUUUCUGGAAAGGUUUUCCGAGCUGAUACACAGCGCAAUGAUUGAAUUGGCAUAUACCGGUUUUGACCAAAAAGUAGGCAAAAUAAUCAUCCGUUUCACAGAAGAAAUGGACUUGCAUUCAUUGAGGCAGGUUUUAUUCGACCGACCUUUUGAUAAAGCUGGGAAUCGCUGGAAAGGAGUGGUAGAGUCCUUAUGAUGUAUUGAUAAAUUUUCAACAUUGGAAGUUCGGAGUUGCCGACAGAGAACCAAUCUUUUGGUGGAACAAUUUAAACGCACCCAGAAUAUGAGGGAAGAAAAUUUAGAUCGGGUGAAGAAGAAGAGGAACUUACAGAAAAGGAUAAUCUACUGUUAAAAAAAAAGAAAUUGAAGAAAGCACAGAAAACGAAGAGAGGGCGGGAAAAAGUCAAAAAUAAAAAAUGAAGAGGAGCAGAGGCAACGUGCUGUAGAAACGUGCUGCAGCAAGGUAGUCACCAAAAUUAAAACAAACUAAGGCUGUUGCUGGCCCUUCUUAAUCCAGCAACGAAGCUGAAGAUGCUGUGCUCUCUUCAAAAAAUAAAAAGCCAAAUGAUCUUCUGGUGGAACUUCUCAUCAAAAGACAAAGAAAAAAGCCAAAUGAACUUCUGAUGGAAGUUGUCUUCAGAAGACAAACAAAAAUAAAAAAUAAAAAAAUAAGAAAGUCUAGUAAAACUGGAGCUGAGAAGACAAGAGCUGAAAGUGGAGUGGAAAAUUUUUGAAUCAUCUAGGGCUGAGCAGAAUUCUCUUCUUUGGACGAUACAAAAGAUUUAGCAAAAAUUACUUUAAAACUUUAGGUUUUUUUUGUGUUAUUCAUUAAAAUGCAUAUAAAUAAACUGAUGUCCUGACUUUUUAAAUUUCCUGUUGACAACUUCAGGUGUGAAAAGCAAAUGUCAUAGUUAGUCUGGUGUGUAAUUCAGGGGUUCUUUUUAUCUUUCAACAGUAUUGACUUCAAAAACGCCAUCCUUUAGAUGUGCCUUACGUUGUGCGUCUUUACAGAAAUUAAUAAUGUGUAUUCAUAUAACUUAUUCAAUCACAUGCUUUCUGUCUUACAAAUCCAAACCAAAUAGAGAAAAAUAUAAACAUACAGAAAUA